Camellia sinensis is the source of this 976-nucleotide non-coding RNA. Lineage: Eukaryota; Viridiplantae; Streptophyta; Magnoliopsida; Ericales; Theaceae. The record is from RefSeq and is a predicted model, not a curated record.
CUGAGGGGCUAUUAUUGUGCCCUAAAUGUUCAAUUAAAGGGACAACUAGUAGGACUGGUCCUUCCAUAUUAAAGAUCAUUCAGAGGAACCCAUUCUUUACUACUUUGAGUAGCAUACUCAAUUGAAGGUUAGGAUGGCAAAGCGUGGGAAAAAUCGUGGCUCAAAACGUGGAAGAAAAAUGGAGAAAAAAAUCUACAAAAGCAGCUCGGCACACAUGGCAGUUCGCGCCCGCGGAACAACUCUUCACGCCUGCGACCUUCAAGUGCGCGCCCGCGAUUUGGAAAUGCUAAAAAUCAAGUUCUCAGAAGUUUUCUCUACAACCCGCGAAGGCUAGUUGCGCCCUCUAUCAUGUGGUUCGCGGCCUCGAGGAAGUCCUGCCUCAGGCCUAUUUAAGGCAGGCUCGACUAGUUUAUUUUGUAUCUCUUCCAGCCAUUUUCUGUGUGCUCUCUCCUAAGUUCUUCUGAGUAUUUUUAUCUUUUGAGAGAUCAAUUUUAUGAGUGAAAUAUAUUUUUGUGAGAGAGAUCAUUUAUUGUAGAGAGAUUUUGCUAAGUGUUUGAGAGUAAGUUGUAGUGAGAUUUCAUUUAUAUUACUCUCAUAUUUGCUUGAUGAUUAGUUAGCUUAUCAGUGCUUCAAUUUCAUCAUCAAGGUGUAAUAAGUCCUUCACACCUUUCAAUUGUGAACCUUCUUGGUGGAUUCCAAGAUUGUAGAUCUUGAUGGAUUUCGAAAUCAUUGGUGUCGUGACGAUUUGACGAUCGUUGCAGAGAUGCAAUGAAAGAAGAAGUGUGACUCGUAGAUUGAGCAAACGCAUGAGUCCAGAGUGGCCUUUGUAAAAUAUCUCUUGUAUUCUUUUCUUUUAUGGUGGAUUGUUCGUUUGGCCGAGAGCGCGUGGUUUUUUUGUCACAAGUUGGUAAAUUUCAGUUGUGAUUUUUCCACGCAAAAAAUAUUUGUUGUCGUGAAUGAAUUUUCUCUUGCUCUC